UUGAGUCUUAUAAGCGGAUAACCUUUCAAGCAAUAGUUGUGUGUUAUGUUUGCAUUGUUUAUAUAUAAUACACAAAUCUAGUUUUACUUGUUAAUAGAGUGCAAGAAAUAAAAGUACAUUUCCAAAUAAUCAAUUCAAAGUUUGAGUUGAGUUGAGUUUGUCAUUUAGUUUGUUUUCUGUACUCAAUUUUGUCAGUUUCCCUCAAGUGUGUUUUGCGAUUUUUAUAAUAGAUAAAAUAUUGCGGUGAAUCGACUUGAUUAAAAAUAAACAUUCUUGCGGUCCAACUGAAGCUAACAUCGAUAAAUUGAUGGAAAUGAUCACUAAAUAUCAUGAUUUAAUUUAAAAGAGGUUGUUUCAGAUCUUUCUGCGUUUCACGAAUCAAUUUGCACGAUUUUACACAAUUGUUUGGGCAUGAAACACUCGCAAUUGCACUAGUUUCGAAACACCUUGAAAUUUCUCAAAAAUUCAAUGGCGUAACGGUCGCUGAAAAUAUGCUGAGAAUGAAUCAAUUCCGUUCCCACAUUAAAAACGCAUUAUAACUGUCGCGAAAUGGAAAGUUCCCGGCAAGAAUUGAAGUCGAUUCUGGCAAAUCUCUUUCAAAAAUGUUCAGAUGAUUGGAUUACUCGCUGGCAUAUGCCUAUUAUUCCGAAACGUACCUGCUUUGAAGGAUGUAUAAUGCUCAUAAUCUUACAGCUUUUCGAAGCUGGUCUUCUGGUGCUGGACCUGCUCAACACCCCUAGAGGCUGCAGAACCUCCGAGUUUGAAGGUGGAACUACGACCCAGACUACAUCUCAG
This 795-nucleotide unclassified non-coding RNA is filed under the name Hermetia illucens (black soldier fly). RNAcentral describes it as "uncharacterized LOC119651130, transcript variant X1". Lineage: Eukaryota; Metazoa; Arthropoda; Insecta; Diptera; Stratiomyidae. The record is from RNAcentral.